GUGCUCGCUUCAGCAGCACAUCUACUACAAUUGGAAUGAUACAGAGCAGAUUAGCAUGGUCCCUGUGAUGACACACAAAUUCGUGAAGCGUUCCAUAUUUAA
Molecule: small nuclear RNA, 102 nt
Organism: Chionomys nivalis (European snow vole)
Lineage: Eukaryota; Metazoa; Chordata; Mammalia; Rodentia; Cricetidae
Source: RefSeq, a predicted model, not a curated record